RNAcentral lists this ribosomal RNA (254 nucleotides) under uncultured bacterium. RNAcentral describes it as "partial 16S ribosomal RNA". It matches the Rfam family "Bacterial small subunit ribosomal RNA", at positions 524 to 776 of the family's 1533-position model. The record is from RNAcentral.
UACGUAGGGUGCGAGCGUUUGUCCGGAAUUAUUGGCGUAAAGGGCUCGUAGGCGGUUUGUCGCGUCGGGAGUGAAAACCUCGGGCUUAACUCGGGGCUUGCUUUCGAUACGGGCAGACUAGAGGUAUGCAGGGGAGAACGGAAUUCCUGGUGUAGCGGUGAAAUGACGCAGAUAUCAGGAGGAACACCGGUGGCGAAGGCGGUUCUCUGGGCAUGAUCUGACGCUGAGGAGCGAAAGUGUGGGGAGCGAACAGG